CGAAGGAGAGAAGAAA
Molecule: small RNA, 16 nt
Filed under: Arabidopsis thaliana (thale cress)
Lineage: Eukaryota; Viridiplantae; Streptophyta; Magnoliopsida; Brassicales; Brassicaceae
Description: ATSL258630
Source: RNAcentral